AGUGAACGCUGGCGGCGUGCCUAAUACAUGCAAGUCGAACGGAGAUUAAGUAGCUUGCUAUUUAAUCUUAGUGGCGCACGGGUGAGUAAUAUAUAGCUAACUUGCCCAUUACUAAGGGACAACAGUUGGAAACGACUGCUAAUACCUUAUACUCCGUAUCUAUAUAAGUAGAUACGGGAAAGUUUUUCGGUAAUGGAUAGGGCUAUAUCGUAUCAGCUAGUUGGUAAGGUAAUGGCUUACCAAGGCUAUGACGCGUAACUGGUCUGAGAGGAUGAUCAGUCACACUGGAACUGAGACACGGUCCAGACUCCUACGGGAGGCAGCAGUAGGGAAUAUUGCUCAAUGGGGGAAACCCCGAAGCAGCAACGCCGCGUGGAGGAUGACACUUUUCGGAGCGUAAACUCCUUUUCUUGGGAAAGAAUUAUGACGGUACCCAAGGAAUAAGCACCGGCUAACUCCGUG
This 462-nucleotide ribosomal RNA is filed under the name uncultured bacterium. Its description in RNAcentral is "partial 16S ribosomal RNA". It matches the Rfam family "Bacterial small subunit ribosomal RNA", at positions 29 to 507 of the family's 1533-position model. The record is from RNAcentral.